GCCGAAGUGGCGGAACGGUAUACGCGACGGUCUCAAACACCGUUGGGCAUUGGCCCUUGUGGGUUCGAAUCCCACCUUCGGCAC
This 84-nucleotide transfer RNA is filed under the name Chloroflexi bacterium ADurb.Bin325. Its description in RNAcentral is "tRNA-Leu". It matches the Rfam family "tRNA". Rfam says of the family: Transfer RNA (tRNA) molecules are approximately 80 nucleotides in length. Their secondary structure includes four short double-helical elements and three loops (D, anti-codon, and T loops). The record is from RNAcentral. Lineage: Bacteria; Bacillati; Chloroflexota.